GAAUAUUCCGCAAUGCGCGAAAGCGUGACGGAGCAAUGCCGCGUGCAGGAUGAAGCGGUUUUGCCGUGUAAACUGCUGUCAGGGAUAAGAAAUACUGAUCUAUCCCAGAGGAAGGGGCGACUAACUCUGUGCCAGCAGUCGCGGUAAUACAGAGGCCCCGAGCGUUAAUCGGAAUCACUGGGCUUAAAGGGUGCGUAGGCGGGCCAGUAAGCGCUUUGUGAAAUCCCACGGCUCAACCGUGGAACCGCAGGGCGAACUGCUGGUCUUGAGGAAGCUAGAGGCUGGUAGAACGAUAGGUGGAGCGGUGGAAUGCGUAGAGAUCUAUCGGAAUGCCGAAAGUGAAGACAGCCAGCUGGGGCUUUCCUGACGCUAAAGCACGAAAGCGUGGGGAGCAAACCGG
RNAcentral lists this ribosomal RNA (400 nucleotides) under uncultured bacterium. RNAcentral's name for it is "bacterial SSU rRNA". It matches the Rfam family "Bacterial small subunit ribosomal RNA", at positions 359 to 776 of the family's 1533-position model. The record is from RNAcentral.